CAUUGAGAAGCUAUGAACCAGCACUAGCCUUUUAAGCUAGAGAAAGAGGGUAUACCCCUCCUUAAUGA
This 68-nucleotide transfer RNA is filed under the name Leipoa ocellata (malleefowl). Its description in RNAcentral is "tRNA-Lys". Lineage: Eukaryota; Metazoa; Chordata; Aves; Galliformes; Megapodiidae. The record is from RNAcentral.